Molecule: ribosomal RNA, 903 nt
Filed under: Staphylococcus warneri
Lineage: Bacteria; Bacillati; Bacillota; Bacilli; Caryophanales; Staphylococcaceae
Description: bacterial SSU rRNA
Rfam family: Bacterial small subunit ribosomal RNA
Source: RNAcentral
ACAUGCWAGUCGAGCGAACAGAUAAGGAGCUUGCAUCCUUUGACGUUAGCGGCGGACGGCCUGAGUAACACGUGGAUAACCUACCUAUAAGACUGGGAUAACUUCGGGAAACCGGAGCUAAUACCGGAUAACAUAUUGAACCGCAUGGUUCAAUAGUGAAAGGCGGCUUUGCUGUCACUUAUAGAUGGAUCCGCGCCGUAUUAGCUAGUUGGUAAGGURACGGCUUACCAAGGCAACGAUACGUAGCCGACCUGAGAGGGUGAUCGGCCACACUGGAACUGAGACACGGUCCAGACUCCUACGGGAGGCAGCAGUAGGGAAUCUUCCGCAAUGGGCGAAAGCCUGACGGAGCAACGCCGCGUGAGUGAUGAAGGUCUUCGGAUCGUAAAACUCUGUUAUCAGGGAAGAACAAAUGUGUAAGUAACUGUGCACAUCUUGACGGUACCUGAUCAGAAAGCCACGGCUAACUACGUGCCAGCAGCCGCGGUAAUACGUAGGUGGCAAGCGUUAUCCGGAAUUAUUGGGCGUAAAGCGCGCGUAGGCGGUUUUUUAAGUCUGAUGUGAAAGCCCACGGCUCAACCGUGGAGGGUCAUUGGAAACUGGAAAACUUGAGUGCAGAAGAGGAAAGUGGAAUUCCAUGUGUAGCGGUGAAAUGCGCAGAGAUAUGGAGGAACACCAGUGGCGAAGGCGACUUUUCUGGKCUGUACUGACGCUGAUGUGCGAAAGCGUGGGGGAUCAACAGGAUUAGAUACCCUGGKUAGUCCACGCCGUAAACGAUGAGUGCCUAAGUGUUAGGGGGUUUCCGCCCCCUUAGUGCUGCAGCUAACGCAUUAAGGCACUUCCGCCCUGGGGARUACSGACGUGCAWAGGUUGGAWAACUCMAWGCAACUGACGGGGAACCCG